RNAcentral lists this ribosomal RNA (866 nucleotides) under uncultured Chloroflexota bacterium. RNAcentral's name for it is "bacterial SSU rRNA". It matches the Rfam family "Bacterial small subunit ribosomal RNA", at positions 35 to 916 of the family's 1533-position model. Lineage: Bacteria; Bacillati; Chloroflexota. The record is from RNAcentral.
GAAUGCGGCUGCUACCAUGCAGUCGAACGGGAUCCCUUGGAUUCGUCUGAGGGUGAGAGUGGCGAACGGGUGAGUAACACGUAGGUGACCUGCCCCGAAGAGGGGAAUAACCACUGGAAACGGUGGCUAAUACCCCAUAGUCUCCACAGUUCGUUCUGUGGAGUAAAGUCCCCGCGAGGGGUGCGCUUCGGGAGGGGCCUGCGGCCCAUCAGGUAGUUGGUAGGGUAACGGCCUACCAAGCCUAUGACGGGUAGGGGGCGUGAGAGCGUGACCCCCCACACUGGCACUGAGACACGGGCCAGACUCCUACGGGAGGCAGCAGUGAGGAAUAUUGCCCAAUGGACGCAAGUCUGAGGCAGCAACGCCGCGUGGGCGAUGAAGGCCUUCGGGUUGUAAAGCCCUUUUCUGGGGGACGAGAAAGGACGGUACCUCAGGAAUAAGUCACGGCUAACUACGUGCCAGCAGCCGCGGUAAUACGUAGGUGGCCAGCGUUAUCCGGAUUCACUGGGCGUAAAGCGCGUGCAGGCGGUUCCGUAAGUCGGACGUGAAAGCUCCUGGCUUAACUGGGAGAGGUCGUUCGAUACUGCGGGGCUUGAGGUCGGGAGAGGGACGUGGAAUUCCCGGUGUAGUGGUGGAAUGCGUAGAUAUCGGGAGGAACACCAGUGGCGAAGGCGGCGUCCUGGCCCGCACCUGACGCUAAGACGCGAAAGCGUGGGGAGCGAACGGGAUUAGAUACCCCGGUAGUCCACGCUGUAAACGGUGGAUACUAGGUGUUGGUGGCUAUCGUCAUCAGUGCCGUAGCUAACGCGUUAAGUAUCCCGCCUGGGGACUACGGCCGCAAGGCUAAAACUCAAAGGAAUUGACGG